CUGAAGAGAAACGGUUGGCGUUGAGAACGAGAUAAACACGAGUGUGGUGUGACCGACUCGAGGAAAACGAUGCCCACAUUUAACGUACAGAAUUGAUCAUCUCCACCCAGUGUAGCCUACAGUAAGUGAGUCACACUCAUUUUGGCUUUAAGGAAGGUCGGAAGUCAGAUCGAAACUUCUCAGUCCUCCCCGUCAGGGUGACUAAGCAUUUCUGCGGAUUCCUGGUCUGCUUUACAUAGGAUGACGUCAGCGGCUCUAUCUUAAAGAAGCGAGAGGUAACAGAUUCGACAGUAGGUUGUGGACUGAAGUUAACACUUUCCAUGCUCAAAAACUGGCCUACUGAAAUUAACAUCAAUUUCCAAAAAUAGUUCAGACACAUAAAGGCCGUCUCUUCCUCCCUGUCUGAUAAAUCCACUGCAGCACUUCAAAGCUCUUUACUCAGGACAGUCUGAUCAGAAAUUGUAGGACAUCAGACAAAAACAGGCAAAAUUUCAUACCUCAUAGAGUUUACUUGCACAUAAAAGUGUAAACAGGAAGCAGGAACACAGACAUGUGCUACAUGUGACUGGCCUAUGCACAAAAAGUCAUAUCACACUUUAACAACAGCUUUCCCCAGGUCUGUCCCUUUCAGCAUCCGGAUGAAGGCGCCCGGCGUGUGCUCAAAGCCCUCAGUGAUUUUUUCCUUCGCCUUCAGCUUCCCCUGCAGAGUAGACAUGCCAUGACACAAAACCUCCAUCAGAAAAUGACUAGAAAACUCCCUCAACAAAUGGCUACAUUUUCUGUUUAUGACUUUGAAUUAUGGCCUGUGUAUUUAAAUAAUGAUAUAAUUAAUUAAUCAGUCAGGGUUGAUUACCAUGGACUAUCAUUUGGAAGUAUUUGCCUAAACUAGAAAAGCUGGGAAAUUAAUUAGCUUGAAAUACAACUUUAAUAGAAAGCAAUAGGCAAGUGUUGAAGGGACAUAAUCAAACACAUUUAAGAUUUAAAGACUAUUGUUGUGCAGUACUCCAGGAUUCUUGCAGUUGCUCUAUGUUGUUUUACUCGCCUGAGCUCAUAAA
This is a long non-coding RNA of Pygocentrus nattereri (red-bellied piranha), 1055 nucleotides long. RefSeq lists it as uncharacterized. The record is from RefSeq and is a predicted model, not a curated record. The transcript has 2 exons. NCBI's taxonomy places the organism in Eukaryota, Metazoa, Chordata, Actinopteri, Characiformes, Serrasalmidae.